Molecule: long non-coding RNA, 144 nt
Organism: Etheostoma spectabile (orangethroat darter)
Lineage: Eukaryota; Metazoa; Chordata; Actinopteri; Perciformes; Percidae
Exons: 3
Source: RefSeq, a predicted model, not a curated record
ACCACAAAGCCUGGCUGUUUUAUUUUGAAAUUGGAUUUAUUUUGUAAAGUAUCCUGCUGCGCUGUGGCCUUCCUGUAUGUGCUUACCUGCCUGGCUUGGCACAUUUCGCUCGCGGAAGAAGCAGAGGAGACGCCGAAACGAUCG